This 449-nucleotide ribosomal RNA is filed under the name uncultured bacterium. RNAcentral describes it as "bacterial SSU rRNA". It matches the Rfam family "Bacterial small subunit ribosomal RNA", at positions 355 to 796 of the family's 1533-position model. The record is from RNAcentral.
UGGGGAAUUUUGGACAAUGGGGGAAACCCUGAUCCAGCCAUCCCGCGUGUGCGAUGAAGGCCUUCGGGUUGUAAAGCACUUUUGGCAGGAAAGAAACGGCGCGUGCUAAUACCAUGCGCAACUGACGGUACCUGCAGAAUAAGCACCGGCUAACUACGUGCCAGCAGCCGCGGUAAUACGUAGGGUGCAAGCGUUAAUCGGAAUUACUGGGCGUAAAGCGUGCGCAGGCGGUUCGGAAAGAAAGAUGUGAAAUCCCAGGGCUCAACCUUGGAACUGCAUUUUUAACUACCGGACUAGAGUAUGUCAGAGGGAGGUGGAAUUCCACGUGUAGCAGUGAAAUGCGUAGAUAUGUGGAGGAACACCGAUGGCGAAGGCAGCCUCCUGGGAUAAUACUGACGCUCAUGCACGAAAGCGUGGGGAGCAAACAGGAUUAGAUACCCCCGUAGUCC